CAAUAAUAAACUCAAACUUGGACUCAAACUCAGACUUUGACUCAGGCUUAGACUUACUAAAGACAGACUCAGGAUUCGUAUUCACGAACGCAUUUGGAAAUAGACUUCAAUAAGAUUGUGUUUUUUUAAUGACGUCACGACUAAGCGAACUCUCUAGUAGGGAAAACGCGCCAAAUAGUGUCAAAAAUAGUAGCGGACAUGUUUGCUAUAACUUAUUGAAUGGAGUGUUUGGCAGUUGAAGACAGCGAAACGAAGCGCCAGCAGGUUCAGAUUGGUCCGAGCCAGAGAUUGUUUUUAAUGCGCUGGUUCGGGACCGCUGGAACCUUCUAUCCGCGAGUAUAAGGGGAUCGGAGCCGAAAAGAUUUUGGUUAUUCGAAGAAAAAAAUGGGACGAGGUGGCGAGUAGAAUAUCAAUGUAAGUUAUAUGUUAUUAUCGUAUCUGCCUUAUAGUUGUAAUAUUUUAUUUAAUAGCUUACUUUUGGAUUUGCUACCGAUGUCGUUUUUACUAGCGCCGAAUAAUGCACUAUGUAAACAAGGGGCAUAACCACUCAGCAAAUUGUACUUACGGAUUUCGGAUGUGAUUGUGGAAUGUGUUUUAGUUUCAAACAUUUGUUAUGAUUUAUGAAAAUUUGGGGUCGCAAAAACUGGUGAACAGUGCCAGAAGGAAAACCAAAAUUCCAAGGCUCGGUAGUGUACCAGUCAUGAAAGUAGAGGCAUUAAGUGUAAAGAAUCGCUCACAAAAGAAGAACGACAAGAGAUCACAAGCCGAUACCUUAACAAAACUUACAGAGAAACCGAUGGGAAAUAACUAAGAAAAAUUAGAAUAAGAAAUAAAAAAGUUGACUGUAUAAAUUGAAAUAAUACAUUUGGAGAAAAAGAUGUGUUUAGUGUCAAUACGUGACCAAGUGCUAUAACUCUGACAUGUAAUAAACUAGUAGUAGAUUUAUUCCCCUUUUUGUAAUUAAAAGGAUCUUAUUAUUUUUUGUGCAACUACUUUAUAACUCUUUUAUUUCUAAAAUAGAUAGUCUAUAUUAGAAAUAAUAGUUAUGGGGCAGUUGCACACAAAAUAAUAAGAUUUUUUUUUAAUUCAAAAAGGGGCAUACUAUUAUUUCUAUGAUAAAAAUAUGAUUCUAUCCCUUUUUGUACUUAUAAAAUUCCAGUCAAUAUUUGUGUGCUUUAAGAAAUGUAGGUUAAAUAUUACAUUGGUCAUUGUAUUAUGUUACUGACAUAUAAAAUACAUUCUACAUUCAAAGAGGAAUAUUAGUUGAAUGUGGUGUCUUGGGACACUUCUUGAUAUUAUUUGCUUACAAGAUAUACAUCAUUGAUAAUAAUAAAAUUCUUCAUUCAAUGAACUGAAUGAAAUUCCAGAAUAAUGGUAGAUGCAGUUAUGUGAAUUUGAAAUUAGACAUCAACAAAUCCUGGCAUCAUGCUUUAGCCCUGGCCAACUGGCAGUGAACUUGAGUGAAGCUCGUUAUUCUGUAGCUGGCAUCAUACACAGCCUGUAAACAUAAAACAUGUUAUAUUACACUAACAAAAUAAGACAUAUUUUUUUAAAUUGUUUCUUAGGUAUUUGAUAAAAUGCUGAUAAAAUGUUUCUUAUUUUGCUAAUAGCAAACUGUUAAAAUUAACAUACAGUUGUUUCAUUAAAUAUUUGUGUUUAAAAUAAAGUUGUAUCAAAUAAAAAGGAUUGCAUUUAGACUUGCACAUAACUGACUGUUAAGCCAUACCUGAACGUUGAUGGUGGGAACGCCCUUUCGCCCUAUGUAGACUUCUACAUGGUUUACUGGCUUCUUGAUAUGCACAUGCGUCCAAUCGAUGCACCCCAAAGUACUUGUAAAACCUGAAAGUUGAUCAUUUAAAAUUGACCCAUUUUUUGGAAAAAUUACAAUAUUAAUAAGUAAAUAGAUAUUGAUAUAAAUGGAUUAUGAUCGGUGCAUUUAUGUGCAUUAUAUUGAAUGAAAGUUCUGCCUUAUGUCAGAAGUGAUGCAAUAUGCUGAUGUGUCUUAACUUGAUAAUCAAAUUUAAUGUCAUCGUUUUACUAUUGAUUGAAAAUGCAAUAAUAUGUGCAUUUGAGAAUAAAAUAUUAUUUCUGUU
Molecule: long non-coding RNA, 2093 nt
Organism: Dreissena polymorpha
Lineage: Eukaryota; Metazoa; Mollusca; Bivalvia; Myida; Dreissenidae
Exons: 4
Source: RefSeq, a predicted model, not a curated record